Molecule: ribosomal RNA, 215 nt
Filed under: uncultured bacterium
Lineage: Bacteria
Description: partial 16S ribosomal RNA
Rfam family: Bacterial small subunit ribosomal RNA
Source: RNAcentral
UCCAAACUCCUACGGGAGGCAGCAGUGAGGAAUAUUGGUCAAUGGGCGAGAGCCUGAACCAGCCAAGUACGUGAGGGAUGACUGCCCUAUGGGUUGUAAACCUCUUUUAUACGGGAAUAAAAUGCGCCACGUGUGGUGUUUUGCAUGUACCGUAAGAAUAAGCAUCGGCUAAUUCCGUGGCAGCCGCGGUAAUACGGAAGAUGCGAGCGUUAUCG